RNAcentral lists this ribosomal RNA (554 nucleotides) under Acontista sp. MN111. RNAcentral's name for it is "partial 16S ribosomal RNA". It matches the Rfam family "Bacterial large subunit ribosomal RNA", at positions 1796 to 2622 of the family's 2925-position model. The record is from RNAcentral. Lineage: Eukaryota; Metazoa; Arthropoda; Insecta; Mantodea; Acanthopidae.
UCGCCUGUUUAUCAAAAACAUGGUUUCUUGAAAGAAAUAAGAAAUUUAACCUGCCCACUGAAAUGUAAUUAAAGGGCUGCAGUAAUUUGACUGUACAAAGGUAGCAUAAUCAUUAGUCUUCUAAUUGGAGGCUGGAAUGAAUGGUUGGACGAGGUAAAAGCUAUUUUAUAUUAAAAUGUUGAAAUUUGAUGUUAAGUAAAAAGACUUAAAUAUCAUUAAGGGACGAGAAGACCCUAUAGAGUUUAAUAAAUGUAAUUUUGAUUAAGUUUUUAAUAAAUUUUUGGUUAUUAGGAAAUUUAUUUGGUUGGGGUGAUGAAAAGAUAAAAUAACUCUUUUUUAAAUUAAAUUUAAAUAAAUAGAAAAAUGAUCCAUUUAUAAUGAUUAAAAGAUUAAAUUACCUUAGGGAUAACAGCAUAAUUUCUUUUAAGAGUUCUUAUCAAAAGAGAAGAUUAUGACCUCGAUGUUGGAUUAAGAUAAAUUUUGGGUGUAGAUGUUCAAGUAAUUAGGUCUGUUCGACCUUAAAAAUCUUACAUGAUCUGAGUUCAAACCGGAGA